GUGGGGAAUAUUGGGCAAUGGGCGCAAGCCUGACCCAGCAACGCCGCGUGAAGGAAGAAGGCUUUCGGGUUGUAAACUUCUUUUACCAGGGACGAAACAAAUGACGGUACCUGGUGAAAAAGCCACGGCUAACUACGUGCCAGCAGCCGCGGUAAUACGUAGGUGGCGAGCGUUAUCCGGAUUUAUUGGGUGUAAAGGGCGUGUAGGCGGGACAGCAAGUCAGAUGUGAAAACCAGAGGCUCAACCUCUGGCCUGCAUUUGAAACUGUUGUUCUUGAGUGUCGGAGAGGUAAUCGGAAUUCCGUGUGUAGCGGUGAAAUGCGUAGAUAUACGGAGGAACACCAGUGGCGAAGGCGGAUUACUGGACGAUAACUGACGCUGAGGCGCGAAAGCGUGGGGAGCAAACAGGAUUAGAUACCCUAGUAGUCC
Molecule: ribosomal RNA, 428 nt
Filed under: uncultured bacterium
Lineage: Bacteria
Description: partial 16S ribosomal RNA
Rfam family: Bacterial small subunit ribosomal RNA
Source: RNAcentral